AGGACGAACGCUGGCGGCGUGCUUAACACAUGCAAGUCGAGCGAGGCUCUCCUUCGGGAGAUGUCCUAGCGGCGAACGGGUGAGUAACACGUGGGCAACCUGCCUCUAGCUCUGGGAUAACUCCGGGAAACCGGGGCUAAUACCGGAUACGACCUCGAGCGGCAUCUAUCGAGGUGGAAAGUUUUUCGGCUAGAGAUGGGCCCGCGGCCUAUCAGCUUGUUGGUGAGGUAACGCCCACCAAGGCGACGACGGGUA
Molecule: ribosomal RNA, 255 nt
Filed under: uncultured soil bacterium
Lineage: Bacteria
Description: partial 16S ribosomal RNA
Rfam family: Bacterial small subunit ribosomal RNA
Source: RNAcentral